Molecule: ribosomal RNA, 253 nt
Filed under: uncultured bacterium
Lineage: Bacteria
Description: partial 16S ribosomal RNA
Rfam family: Bacterial small subunit ribosomal RNA
Source: RNAcentral
UACGUAGGGUGCGAGCGUUGUCCGGAAUUAUUGGGUGUAAAGAGCUCGUAGGCGGUCUGUCGCGUCGGAUGUGAAAGCCCGGGGCUUAACCCCGGGUCUGCAUUCGAUACGGGCAGGCUAGAGUGUGGUAGGGGAGAUCGGAAUUCCUGGUGUAGCGGUGAAAUGCGCAGAUAUCAGGAGGAACACCGGUGGCGAAGGCGGAUCUCUGGGCCAUUACUGACGCUGAGGAGCGAAAGCGUGGGGAGCGAACAGG